This 860-nucleotide ribosomal RNA is filed under the name uncultured bacterium. Its description in RNAcentral is "bacterial SSU rRNA". It matches the Rfam family "Bacterial small subunit ribosomal RNA", at positions 15 to 913 of the family's 1533-position model. The record is from RNAcentral.
GAUCAUGGCUCAGAACGAACGCUUGCUGCAUGCUUUAUACAUGCAAGUCGAACGAAGGCCCUAGCUUGCUAGGUGUCCUUAGUGGCGCACGGGUGAGUAACACGUGGGAACAUACCUCAUAGUACGGAAUAACUGCGGGAAACUGUAGCUAAUACCGUAUAUUCCAGAAAUGGGAAAGAUUUAUCGCUAUGAGAUUGGCCCGCGCAAGAUUAGCUUGUUGGUAAGGUAAUGGCUUACCAAGGCUCCGAUCUUUAGCUGGUUUGAGAGGAUGAUCAGCCACACUGGGACUGAGACACGGCCCAGACUCCUACGGGAGGCAGCAGUAGGGAAUAUUGGACAAUGGGGGAAACCCUGAUCCAGCAAUGCAGCGUGAGUGACGAAGGCCUUAGGGUUGUAAAACUCUUUCAUCGGUGAGGAUAAUGACAGUAGCCGAAGAAGAAGGACCGGCUAAUUCCGUGCCAGCAGCCGCGGUAAUACGGAAGGUCCUAGCGUUGUUCGGAAUUACUGGGCGUAAAGCGCAUGUAGGCGGAACAAAAAGUUAGAAGUGAAAUCCCUGGGCUCAACCUAGGAAUUGCUUUUAAAACUUUUGUUCUGGAAUUCAGGAGAGGAAAAUGGAAUUUCCAGUGUAGAGGUGAAAUUCGUAGAUAUUGGAAGGAACACCAGUGGCGAAGGCGAUUUUCUGGACUGAUAUUGACGCUGAGAUGCGAAGGCAUGGGUAGCAAACGGGAUUAGAUACCCCGGUAGUCCAUGCAGUAAACGAUGGGUGCUAGUCGUCGGACUUUUGUUCGGUGUCGUAGCUAACGCGUUAAGCACCCCGCCCUGGGGGAGUACGGUCGCAAGAUUAAAACUCAAUAAAUUGA